UUUUGGAAAUAAAAAGAAUAAAUCUACCAGAGUACUACGAAUCAGAAUAUUUAAAACUCAAAGAGCUUGGCGGUACUUUAAACCUUUCAGGGGAACCUGUUUUAUAAUCGACAAUCCACGUUAUACCUUACCUUUUCUUAUUUAGUUUGUAUACCAUCGUCGUCAGGUAACUUUUAAAAAUUUAAGUAGUUAGCAAAAAAGUCUAUAAACUUAAACGUCAGAUCAAGGUGCAAUUAAUGAAAAGGGUAAAAUGGGUUACAAUUAUAUAAUAAUAAUACGAAAAUUUAGUUGUAAAAUUAUUUUAAAGGAGGACUUGAAAGUAAAAAUAUCUAUAUACAUAAAUUGAAUAAGGCUCUGAAGUGUGC
RNAcentral lists this ribosomal RNA (365 nucleotides) under Austromitra sp. MNHN-IM-2013-40667. RNAcentral describes it as "partial 12S ribosomal RNA". Lineage: Eukaryota; Metazoa; Mollusca; Gastropoda; Neogastropoda; Costellariidae. The record is from RNAcentral.